AUUGAACGCUGGCGGCAUGCUUUACACAUGCAAGUCGAACGGCAGCGCGGGCUUCGGCCUGGCGGCGAGUGGCGAACGGGUGAGUAAUACAUCGGAACGUGCCCAGUAGUGGGGGAUAGCUCGGCGAAAGCCGGAUUAAUACCGCAUACGACCUGAGGGUGAAAGCGGAGGAUCUUCGGACCUCGCGCUAUUGGAGCGGCCGAUGGCAGAUUAGCUAGUUGGUGGGGUAAAGGCCUACCAAGGCGACGAUCUGUAGCUGGUCUGAGAGGACGACCAGCCACACUGGGACUGAGACACGGCCCAGACUCCUACGGGAGGCAGCAGUGGGGAAUUUUGGACAAUGGGCGAAAGCCUGAUCCAGCAAUGCCGCGUGUGUGAUGAAGGCCUUCGGGUUGUAAAGCACUUUUGGCGGGAACGAAAAGGACUGUGCCAAUACCACGGUUCGAUGACGGUACCCGCAGAAUAAGCACCGGCUAACUACGUG
RNAcentral lists this ribosomal RNA (484 nucleotides) under uncultured bacterium. RNAcentral describes it as "partial 16S ribosomal RNA". It matches the Rfam family "Bacterial small subunit ribosomal RNA", at positions 29 to 507 of the family's 1533-position model. The record is from RNAcentral.